ACAGCAGUCGCCGCGGUAAUACGUAGGUGGCAAGCGUUGUCCGGAAUUAUUGGGCGUAAAGGGCUCGCAGGCGGUCUCUUAAGUCUGAUGUGAAAGCCCCCGGCUCAACCGGGGAGGGUCAUUGGAAACUGGGAAACUUGAGUGCAGAAGAGGAGAGUGGAAUUCCACGUGUAGCGGUGAAAUGCGUAGAGAUGUGGAGGAACACCAGUGGCGAAGGCGACUCUCUGGUCUGUAACUGACGCUGAGGAGCGAAAGCGUGGGGAGCGAACAGGAUUAGAUACCCCAGUAGUCCCUGUCUCUUAUAC
Molecule: ribosomal RNA, 305 nt
Filed under: uncultured bacterium
Lineage: Bacteria
Description: partial 16S ribosomal RNA
Rfam family: Bacterial small subunit ribosomal RNA
Source: RNAcentral